CCUACGGGAGGCAGCAGUAGGGAAUGUUUCACAAUGGGCGAAAGCCUGAUGGAGCAAUGCCGCGUGAAUGAUGAAGGUCUUAUAGAUUGUAAAAUUCUUUGAUUUGGGAAGAAAAACUAAAGGAGGAAAUGACUUUAGUCGGACUGUAACAUGGGAAUAAGGAGCGGCUAACGAUGUGCCAGCAGCCGCGGUAAUACCUAGGAUGAAAGCGUUAUCCGGAUUUACUGGGCGUAAAACGAGCGCAGGCGGGUUAACAAGUUUGGUAUGAAAGGCUUUUGCUUAACGAAAGUUUGUAUCACAAACUGUUAAUCUAGAGUGUAGUAGCGCGUUCUGGAAUUCCAUGUGGAGCGGUGUACUGCGUAGAUAUAUGGAAGAACACCAGUGGCGAAGGCGCGACCUUAGGCUAUCCCUGACGCUUCGGCUCGAACGUGUG
This 433-nucleotide ribosomal RNA is filed under the name uncultured bacterium. Its description in RNAcentral is "partial 16S ribosomal RNA". It matches the Rfam family "Bacterial small subunit ribosomal RNA", at positions 338 to 763 of the family's 1533-position model. The record is from RNAcentral.